Molecule: long non-coding RNA, 1142 nt
Filed under: Heterocephalus glaber (naked mole-rat)
Lineage: Eukaryota; Metazoa; Chordata; Mammalia; Rodentia; Bathyergidae
Description: lncRNA (ENSHGLG00100038890.1)
Source: RNAcentral
GCCUGCUCUCAGUUCACUUUCCUUUCCACUUACUCAUUCGCUUUGCUUAAUCCCUUUUUAAGAAAUUCAUUUACUCAUUCAUUCAUUCGUCCAACGACAUGUUCACACAGUCUCUAUCUGCGACUCAGUGGUGUCCAGUGCUUAUCUGAGCUGGGGUCAGCCAGGGGACAAAGUCCUCGAGCCCCACAGAGGUGACAUUCAAGGUGGAGACAGGUAAGGGGCCAGUAAACCCAUGAGGAUCUCAGAGUGAUAAAUGUUCCAGGGAACACUUUAAAUGUCAGAAAGAUGUGCCCAGAGUUGGGGAGAGGUGGGGUUCCCACAUCACCCGGGCGGCGACAGAGUUAGGCUGGAAAGGGGUCAGUGAGUUCCAGGGGUGACGGGCAGGGGUCAGCACGUGCAAAGGCCCAGCACGCAGACAGCUGGGCCACCUCCAUCCCCACCUCCUGGCACGAGGGGAACAAAGAUGGGGUGUCCACAGCCUGUGCAGUGCAGGAAUUUGGCAGGGAAUUGCAAGGAGAGGUGGGAGGCCCCAACUCAUGAGGCAUCCUGGGCUACUGGUGGGUAGCUUUGCCUUUUUCUAAGUUUAGAGUUGCUGGAAGGCAGUACGCGAGGAAUGGCAUCAUUUGAUUUUCCCAGUGCUAGGGACUGAACCUGGGCCUUCACGCGGAGCUGCAUGGCCAGCCCUCUUCACGUUUCCUCUGAGACAGUGUCCUGCUAAGUUCCCUAGGUUGGGCUUGAACUUGCAAGCCUCUGACUUCAGCCCCACCACACCUGCCCAAUUUAAAUUUUUAAAAGCGUCUUGGUGUGGCAGGAUGCUGGGGGACUGGGACGAGCUGCAGCCGGACCACGGCUGCCCCACUCACUCUCCUGCAGGCGUGGCGUGGGCUCCACGGGUUGUCACGGGCGAGGCCUCUCGGCAGGUGGCUGGCAAAGGCGCAGUGUGGUCCUCGUAGGGUCAGUGGGCUCUGCCUCGGCUUACCCAGCUCAGGCACCACGACCAGGGCCCCGCGGGUGAUGGAGCCCCCUGAACCCCCCGAGGCACCAGGCCGGCCUUUGAGGCUCUCCUCGUAGCAGACACGCUCGAGAGCCCGGGCGUCGGUGACCACAUCGAGCGGGAGCCACAGCAGUGGGCAGCCCCGUUC